RNAcentral lists this ribosomal RNA (209 nucleotides) under uncultured bacterium. Its description in RNAcentral is "partial 16S ribosomal RNA". It matches the Rfam family "Bacterial small subunit ribosomal RNA", at positions 568 to 775 of the family's 1533-position model. The record is from RNAcentral.
CUCGUAGGCGGCCAACUAAGUCAGACGUGAAAUCCCCAGGCUCAACCUGGGAACUGCGUCUGAUACUGGAUGGCUUGAAUUCGGGAGAGGGAUGCAGAAUUCCAGGUGUAGCGGUGAAAUGCGUAGAUAUCUGGAGGAAUACCGGUGGCGAAGGCGGCAUCCUGGACCGACAUUGACGCUGAGGAGCGAAAGCUAGGGGAGACGAAACG